CCUACGGGAGGCAGCAGUGGGGAAUUUUGGACAAUGGGCGCAAGCCUGAUCCAGCAAUGCCGCGUGAGUGAAGAAGGCCUUCGGGUUGUAAAGCUCUUUUGUCAGGGAAGAAACGGUGAAGGCUAAUAUCUUUUGCUAAUGACGGUACCUGAAGAAUAAGCACCGGCUAACUACGUGCCAGCAGCCGCGGUAAUACGUAGGGUGCAAGCGUUAAUCGGAAUUACUGGGCGUAAAGCGUGCGCAGGCGGUUUUGUAAGUUUGUCGUGAAAUCCCCGGGCUCAACCUGGGAAUGGCGAUGAAGACUGCAAGGCUAGAGUUUGGCAGAGGGGGGUAGAAUUCCACGUGUAGCAGUGAAAUGCGUAGAUAUGUGGAGGAACACCGAUGGCGAAGGCAGCCCCCUGGGUCAAACUGACGCUCAUGCACGAAAGCGUGGGGAGCAAACAGGAUUAGAUACCCUGGUAGUCCACGCCCUAAACGAUGUCUACUAGUUGUCGGGUCUUAAUUGACUUGGUAACGCAGCUAACGCGUGAAGUAGACCGCCUGGGGAGUACGGGUCGCAAGAUUAAAACUUCAAAUUGAAUUGACGG
RNAcentral lists this ribosomal RNA (587 nucleotides) under uncultured bacterium. RNAcentral describes it as "bacterial SSU rRNA". It matches the Rfam family "Bacterial small subunit ribosomal RNA", at positions 338 to 916 of the family's 1533-position model. The record is from RNAcentral.